This 266-nucleotide ribosomal RNA is filed under the name Penicillium sp. RNAcentral describes it as "partial 28S ribosomal RNA". It matches the Rfam family "Eukaryotic large subunit ribosomal RNA", at positions 1 to 257 of the family's 3401-position model. The record is from RNAcentral. Lineage: Eukaryota; Fungi; Ascomycota; Eurotiomycetes; Eurotiales; Aspergillaceae.
GGUUGACCUCGGAUCAGGUAGGGAUACCCGCUGAACUUAAGCAUAUCAAUAAGCGGAGGAAAAGAAACCAACAGGGAUUGCCUCAGUAACGGCGGAGUGAAGCGGCAAGAGCUCAAAUUUGAAAGCUGGCUCUCUCGGGGUCCGCAUUGUAAUUUGCAGAGGAUGUUUCGGGAGCAGCCCCCAUCUAAGUGUCCUGGACAGGACCGUCAUAGGAGGGUGAGAAUCCCGUAUGGGAUGGGGUUGCUGCGCCCGAUGUGAAACUCCUU